RNAcentral lists this ribosomal RNA (253 nucleotides) under uncultured bacterium. RNAcentral's name for it is "partial 16S ribosomal RNA". It matches the Rfam family "Bacterial small subunit ribosomal RNA", at positions 524 to 777 of the family's 1533-position model. The record is from RNAcentral.
UACGUAGGGAGCGAGCGUUGUCCGGAUUAUUGGGCGUAAAGCGCGCGUAGGCGGUUUGAUAAGCCGGGUGUGAAACCUCCAAGCUCAACUUGGAGCGGCCACUCGGAACUGUCAUGACUUGAGUCAGGUAGGGGAACACGGAAUUCCAGGUGUAGCGGUGAAAUGCUUAGAUAUCUGGAGGAACACCAGUGGCGAAGGCGGUGUUCUGGCCUGUACUGACGCUGAUGCGCGAAAGCGUGGGGAGCGAACGAGG